CCGGACCGAGUCUAUGAACGUCGUACCGUUGGGUGCUACGUGAUUACUGGAUGAGUGGUGCAUGGCCGUUCUUAGUUCGUGGUGUUAAUUGUCUACUUAAUUGUUUCGGCCAUGUAUCUCUCAGUACAGUCCUUACAACGAACGAGAUCGAGACCCGUGGUUUGAAUUCGGUAUUACUACGGGGAUCGCGUAAUUACUCAACGGUACGAUCGAAAGACUCGGCAAUAACAGGUCUGUGAUGCCCUCAGAUGUUCUAGGCUGCACACGUGCUACAUUGUGAGUUGUAGUAUAUUGUGUAUGCGUAGAUAUGUCUAAGAUCCCC
This 322-nucleotide ribosomal RNA is filed under the name Amphistegina lobifera. RNAcentral describes it as "SSU rRNA". It matches the Rfam family "Eukaryotic small subunit ribosomal RNA", at positions 1224 to 1528 of the family's 1831-position model. The record is from RNAcentral. Lineage: Eukaryota; Foraminifera; Rotaliida; Amphisteginidae.